AAAUUGAAGAGUUUGAUCAUGGCUCAGAUUGAACGCUGGCGGCAGGCCUAACACAUGCAAGUCGAACGGUAACAGGAAACAGCUUGCUGUUUCGCUGACGAGUGGCGGACGGGUGAGUAAUGUCUGGGAAACUGCCUGAUGGAGGGGGAUAACUACUGGAAACGGUAGCUAAUACCGCAUAACGUCGCAAGACCAAAGAGGGGGACCUUCGGGCCUCUUGCCAUCGGAUGUGCCCAGAUGGGAUUAGCUAGUAGGUGGGGUAAACGGCUCACCUAGGCGACGAUCCCUAGCUGGUCUGAGAGGAUGACCAGCCACACUGGAACUGAGACACGGUCCAGACUCCUACGGGAGGCAGCAGUGGGGAAUAUUGCACAAUGGGCGCAAGCCUGAUGCAGCCAUGCCGCGUGUAUGAAGAAGGCCUUCGGGUUGUAAAGUACUUUCAGCGGGGAGGAAGGGAGUAAAGUUAAUACCUUUGCUCAUUGACGUUACCCGCAGAAGAAGCACCGGCUAACUCCGUGCCAGCAGCCGCGGUAAUACGGAGGGUGCAAGCGUUAAUCGGAAUUACUGGGCGUAAAGCGCACGCAGGCGGUUUGUUAAGUCAGAUGUGAAAUCCCCGGGCUCAACCUGGGAACUGCAUCUGAUACUGGCAAGCUUGAGUCUCGUAGAGGGGGGUAGAAUUCCAGGUGUAGCGGUGAAAUGCGUAGAGAUCUGGAGGAAUACCGGUGGCGAAGGCGGCCCCCUGGACGAAGACUGACGCUCAGGUGCGAAAGCGUGGGGAGCAAACAGGAUUAGAUACCCUGGUAGUCCACGCCGUAAACGAUGUCGACUUGGAGGUUGUGCCCUUGAGGCGUGGCUUCCGGAGCUAACGCGUUAAGUCGACCGCCUGGGGAGUACGGCCGCAAGGUUAAAACUCAAAUGAAUUGACGGGGGCCCGCACAAGCGGUGGAGCAUGUGGUUUAAUUCGAUGCAACGCGAAGAACCUUACCUGGUCUUGACAUCCACGGAAGUUUUCAGAGAUGAGAAUGUGCCUUCGGGAACCGUGAGACAGGUGCUGCAUGGCUGUCGUCAGCUCGUGUUGUGAAAUGUUGGGUUAAGUCCCGCAACGAGCGCAACCCUUAUCCUUUGUUGCCAGCGGUCCGGCCGGGAACUCAAAGGAGACUGCCAGUGAUAAACUGGAGGAAGGUGGGGAUGACGUCAAGUCAUCAUGGCCCUUACGACCAGGGCUACACACGUGCUACAAUGGCGCAUACAAAGAGAAGCGACCUCGCGAGAGCAAGCGGACCUCAUAAAGUGCGUCGUAGUCCGGAUUGGAGUCUGCAACUCGACUCCAUGAAGUCGGAAUCGCUAGUAAUCGUGGAUCAGAAUGCCACGGUGAAUACGUUCCCGGGCCUUGUACACACCGCCCGUCACACCAUGGGAGUGGGUUGCAAAAGAAGUAGGUAGCUUAACCUUCGGGAGGGCGCUUACCACUUUGUGAUUCAUGACUGGGGUGAAGUCGUAACAAGGUAACCGUAGGGGAACCUGCGGUUGGAUCACCUCCUUA
Molecule: ribosomal RNA, 1543 nt
Filed under: Escherichia coli
Lineage: Bacteria; Pseudomonadati; Pseudomonadota; Gammaproteobacteria; Enterobacterales; Enterobacteriaceae
Description: bacterial SSU rRNA
Rfam family: Bacterial small subunit ribosomal RNA
Source: RNAcentral